GACGAACGCUGGCGGCGUGCUUAACACAUGCAAGUCGAACGGAAAGGCGCUGCUUUUGUGGGGUGCUCGAGAGGCGAACGUGUGAGUAACACGUGAGUAACGUGCCCUUGACUGUGGGAUAACUUCAGGAAACUGGGGCUAAUACAGGAUAGGAGCGCCUGCUGCAGGGGGGGGGUUGGAGAGUUUCGGCGGAGGGGGAUGGACUCGCGGCUUAUCAGCUUGUUGGUGGGGUAGUGGCUUACCAGGGCAUUGACGGGUAGCCGGCCUUAGAGGGUGACCGGCCACCUUGGGCCUAAGAUGCGGCCCAGACUCCUACGAGAGGCAGCAGUGGUGAAUAUUGCACCACGGGCGGCAGCCUGCUGCCGCAACGCCGCGUGCGGGAUGACGGCCUUCGAGUUGUCGACCGCUUUCGCCUGUGACGAAGCGUCAGUGACGGUAAUUGGUAAAGAAGCACCGGCUAACUCCGUG
This 468-nucleotide ribosomal RNA is filed under the name uncultured bacterium. RNAcentral's name for it is "partial 16S ribosomal RNA". It matches the Rfam family "Bacterial small subunit ribosomal RNA", at positions 28 to 507 of the family's 1533-position model. The record is from RNAcentral.